This 438-nucleotide ribosomal RNA is filed under the name uncultured bacterium. RNAcentral describes it as "partial 16S ribosomal RNA". It matches the Rfam family "Bacterial small subunit ribosomal RNA", at positions 29 to 507 of the family's 1533-position model. The record is from RNAcentral.
AACGAACGCUGGCGGCAUGCCUAACACAUGCAAGUCGAACGAGGACUUCGGGUCUAGUGGCGCACGGGUGCGUAACGCGUGGGAACCUGCACUUAGGUUCGGAAUAACUCCCCGAAAGGGGUCCUAAUACCGGAUAAUGUCUUCGGACCAAAGAUUUGGCGCGUUUGGAUGGGCUCGCGUUUGAUUAGCUAGUUGGUAGGGUAGAGGCCUACCAAGGCUACGUUGGGUAGCUGGUCUGAGAGGAGGAUCGGCGACAUUGGGACUGAGAUACGGCCCAGACUACUACGGGAGGCAGAAGUGGGGAAUAUUGCACAAUGGGCGGGAGCAUGAUGCAGCAACGCAGCGUGCGGGAUGACGGCCUUCGGGUUGUAAACCGCUUUCGCCUGUGACGAAGCGUGAGUGACGGUAAUGGGUAAAGAAGCACCGGCUAACUACGUG